UGCCAGCAGCCGCGGUAAUACGGAGGGUGCGAGCGUUAAUCGGAAUUACUGGGCGUAAAGCGCGCGUAGGCGGUUAGUUAAGUCAGCUGUGAAAGCCCCGGGCUCAACCUGGGAACUGCAGUUGAUACUGGCCAACUAGAGUGCAAGAGAGGGAGGUAGAAUUCCACGUGUAGCGGUGAAAUGCGUAGAUAUGUGGAGGAAUACCGGUGGCGAAGGCGGCCUCCUGGCUUGACACUGACGCUGAGGUGCGAAAGCGUGGGGAGCAAACAGGAUUAGAUA
RNAcentral lists this ribosomal RNA (279 nucleotides) under uncultured bacterium. Its description in RNAcentral is "partial 16S ribosomal RNA". It matches the Rfam family "Bacterial small subunit ribosomal RNA", at positions 506 to 784 of the family's 1533-position model. The record is from RNAcentral.